RNAcentral lists this ribosomal RNA (252 nucleotides) under uncultured bacterium. Its description in RNAcentral is "partial 16S ribosomal RNA". It matches the Rfam family "Bacterial small subunit ribosomal RNA", at positions 524 to 776 of the family's 1533-position model. The record is from RNAcentral.
UACGUAGGGAGCGAGCGUUGUCCGGAAUUACUGGGUGUAAAGGGAGCGUAGGCGGGGAUGCAAGUUGGGUGUCAAAACUACCGGCUCAACUGGUAGUCGCACUCAAAACUGCAGCUCUUGAGUGAAGUAGAGGCAGGCGGAAUUCCUAGUGUAGCGGUGAAAUGCGUGGAUAUUAGGAGGAACACCAGUGGCGAAGGCGGCCUGCUGGACUGCAACUGACGUUGAGGCUCGAAGGCGUGGGGAGCAAACAGG